GACUCGUCACACUAUCAUUAACUGAAUCCAUAGGUUAAUGAGGCGAACCGGGGGAACUGAAACAUCUAAGUACCCCGAGGAAAAGAAAUCAACCGAGAUUCCCCCAGUAGCGGCGAGCGAACGGGGAGGAGCCCAGAGCCUGAAUCAGCAUGUGUGUUAGUGGAAGCGUCUGGAAAGGCGCGCGAUACAGGGUGACAGCCCCGUACACAAAAGCGCAUGUGCUGUGAGCUCGAUGAGUAGGGCGGGACACGUGGUAUCCUGUCUGAAUAUGGGGGGACCAUCCUCCAAGGCUAAAUACUCCUGACUGACCGAUAGUGAACCAGUACCGUGAGGGAAAGGCGAAAAGAACCCCGGCGAGGGGAGUGAAAAAGAACCUGAAACCGUGUACGUACAAGCAGUGGGAG
RNAcentral lists this ribosomal RNA (404 nucleotides) under Salmonella enterica. RNAcentral's name for it is "partial 23S ribosomal RNA". It matches the Rfam family "Bacterial large subunit ribosomal RNA", at positions 137 to 579 of the family's 2925-position model. The record is from RNAcentral. RNAcentral also lists the same sequence under 2 other names. Lineage: Bacteria; Pseudomonadati; Pseudomonadota; Gammaproteobacteria; Enterobacterales; Enterobacteriaceae.